This is a long non-coding RNA of Neofelis nebulosa (Clouded leopard), 366 nucleotides long. RefSeq lists it as uncharacterized. The record is from RefSeq and is a predicted model, not a curated record. NCBI's taxonomy places the organism in Eukaryota, Metazoa, Chordata, Mammalia, Carnivora, Felidae. The transcript is spliced from 4 exons.
GGGGACUUUGCCCGGGACCAUGGCUUAAGCCUUUACAGAGUAUAUGUUCCUGGAAACAAAGCCUAGAGAAGGGCUGAGAUGGCCUCCCAGGUUGUUCCCCCAACAGUGACAGAUAUCUCUGAAGGGCUCAAUAAAGAAGAAUGAAGGAAAGAGAACACUUGUUGGAGCCACAGAUGUAAGGAACCUGGGCAGCAAGAGAUAAGCCAAUAUAUCUGCCUGUUGAGCCUACAGUUAAAAAUAAUUAUAGAGAACAUGGUGAUGCUUCAGAAACUGUCAGUUUCUCUGGGGAGGAGGUCUUGACUGCAAUUCUUGGGUGAGAGUUUUGGACAAGGAAAACCCAGAAAGCUGAGGCAUGGAGUGUCUUGG